This 209-nucleotide long non-coding RNA is filed under the name Musa acuminata (dwarf banana). Its description in RNAcentral is "long non-coding RNA (MACU_LNC009676)". Lineage: Eukaryota; Viridiplantae; Streptophyta; Magnoliopsida; Zingiberales; Musaceae. The record is from RNAcentral.
GUCUAGGUGAAGUCAGAGGGGGUCGGUAGAGCAUCGCAGGCUCUAUGCAUAACUCCCUUUACCAUUUCUGGUAAAGGUUCACAUUAUCCCACAACACCAGAGUACAAAAGGGCAGUAUGAAUAAUAAAUAGCACAUAUCGGAAGCACACGUGGAACAACAAAACGUACAUGUGCCUUUACGAGUCAAUACGAUGCAAGCAAUAAUCUUU